ACUCGCGGUCCGCAGGAUGACUCAGGGCAGCCCUGACCACAGUUCCGCCGCCAUCGGCCCUAGCCUGCGGAGUUGGGCUCGCCCCAGGACGAUAACAGAGCUCUACCGGGGGCUGGAGGCACUGACCGGGUGACCAGAGACCCUCCACGGCGCCCGGGAUUUCAGGGACGGCUCCUCCCAUCGCAAGUUUCAACAGAAAGUGAGAAAUAUCCCCCCGACGAUUGGCUGAAAACAUGCAGCAACCACUAUUUUCUUCCUGCCCCUCGUUGAUGAGAGCAUUCGAAGUGACCUCAGCAGGGCAUCCAGUUUUGCUCUUGUGGCCCAGGCUGGAGUGCAGUGGUGUGACCUCGGCUCACUGCAACCUCCGCCUCCCGGGUUCAAGUGAUGGGAUUACAGGUGCCUGCCACAACGCCCGGCUAAUUGUUUGUAUUUUUAGUAGAGACGAGGUUUCACCAUGUUGGCCAGGCUGGUCUCGAAUUCCUGACCUCAGGUGAUCCACCUGCCUUGGCCUCCCAAAGCGCUGGGAUUACAGGUAUGAGCUACCACACCCGGCACAAAGCAUUUUCAGCUGUGAAAUUCCCUGGGGUGCUGCAGUAGAGGAAGGUUUGGGGUCUUGACGGGUGCUGUUUGCCACGGAAAGAUGCCUUCCUGCUCCCAGGGCAGGAGAGCUGAGGUAAGACUUUACUGUAGGCUGUCGUUUUUUUUGUUUGUUUUUUGUUUUUGAGAUGGAGUCUCACUCUGUCGCCAGGCUGGAGUGCAGUGGCAUGAUCUUGGCUCACUGCAGAACCUCCACCUCCCAGGUUCAAGCGAUUCUCCUGCCUCAGCCUCCCAAGUAACUGGGAUUACAGGCACAUGCCCCCACAACCAGCUAAUUUUUUAUUUUUAGUAGAGACAGGGUUUCACAUGUUGGCCAGGCUGGUCUUGAACUCCUGACCUCAGGUGAUCCGCCCGCCUCGGCCUCCCAAAGUCCUGGGAUUACAGGCGUGAGCCACUGCACCCGGCCAGGCUGUUGUUCUUUCACCUCCUCGUUUGCACGAUUUGGGCCACUCACAAGAGUGUUAUACCCCGCGAUAAACAGUUACCUACAUUCUCCUCUGCACGCUUGUCUUUAGAGGAAGGAGAUGUAUUCAUUGCCCAAAGUGAUAUAUUGUGUUAAGAUGUGAUAUAUACUGGGGGAAAAAAAGUAUAUAUUGACAUUUCUGGAAUAAACCACUUUGAUAC
This 1221-nucleotide long non-coding RNA is filed under the name Pongo abelii (Sumatran orangutan). RNAcentral describes it as "lincRNA". The record is from RNAcentral. Lineage: Eukaryota; Metazoa; Chordata; Mammalia; Primates; Hominidae.